Molecule: long non-coding RNA, 258 nt
Filed under: Vicia faba (fava bean)
Lineage: Eukaryota; Viridiplantae; Streptophyta; Magnoliopsida; Fabales; Fabaceae
Source: RNAcentral
AUGCCAGUGCUCGGACAAAACCGCGGCGGCGCCCCCACCACCGUGGGCUGGUCGCGACUGCUCUCAUCCUUGUGCCACUCUCUGAUCACGCCCUUCCCUCGCCCUGCAUACCGUCACCGGAUCUGUAACCGUCAACCACCACCGAAGAAUCCGACGGAACUCCCGUCGUCACCCAUACCAGAGAAAGAAAGAGAGAGGCACGAAUGUAAAGAAGAAGAGGAACUCUUGUCUGUUCUGAAAGAGGAGAAAGGAAAGUGA